CUCCUCCUCUCUCCGCAGCACCCUCUCCAUCAUCUGCUACGCCGGCCGGCCGGCGACCCUGGCAACAUGAAGCUCCUUCCGGCCGUCUUCCUUCUCCUACUAGUCUUCCUCGCACUGGAUGAUGCGCAGGCCCGAGGCACACCCAGGGCUCGGUGGUCCAGCAUGUUCGUCUUCGGCGACGACUUUGUCGACAACGGCAAUGUUCCCAACAUCAUCGGCGAAAGGACGUCGCGGCACGGCGGCAGUGGAGCUACCCGUACGGCGCUUAUCGCAACUCUAGUUGGUCUGGCGCUCCCGUUCCAACAGGACGCUUCUCCAACUACCGGAUGCUAUCAGAUUUUAUCGCAAGGAUGUUCGGCCUCAAUGAGGCCCCUCCAGCCUACGAGCUCACAUCAGAUCAGUCUUGCGACUCAUCGGGCAUGACCUUCGCUUUUGGCGGCGCUGGUGUCUUCAAGGUGGCGGCGAAGAAAGUGCAGACCCUUGCCGCACAGGUUCAAGCUUUCAAGAGGCUAGUCAACGACGGGGUCAUCCCAACACGACAGCUUCACCACUCCGUCGCGGCAUCGCGCUCAUCGCCAUCUCGGGCAAUGACUACAUGAGCGGCUCCGACGCCAAUAAUGGCUUCUACUCAAGCUUCGAUGAUCUUGAUACUUACAUGGGAAACGUGGCGACUGAGAUCCUAGAUAAUGUGGCACAGCUGCAGACGCUUGGUGUGAGAAAGGUGCUACGAGUAGUAAGCAACUUGCAUCCCAUUGGUUGCACGCCAUUGUAGACUAGCUCAAACAACUAUAUCACGUGACAUCGUCAAUCACGCCCCUGGUGAAGGGUUGGAUCGGUCCAAGGAUUUCAAGCGCAAGCUGACCCCGUGUUGCGAGAGUUCCUAUGAGGGAGGGUACUGUGGAGAGCGUAGCAGUUCACGGAAGCACCUCUACUACCUAUGCCAAAAUCCCGACAAGAGGUUCUACUGGGACGAGACACAUCCGACACAUGCUGGGUGGGAGGCUGUAAUGGAGGCGCUGGAGCAGCCUUUGAUGGAAUUUCUCAAUUGAUGCGUUGUAUUUUUGGCAGCACCUUGAUCAAUUGAUAGUUGGUGCGGUAUCUUUUAGGUUAGCAUUAUAUACAGUGUGCGUAUUUAGGGGUGAGCUUGAGAGAUUUUCUUUCGUCAUGUUCGGCUAAACUUUUAGUCCAGUAGGUUCGAAAUUGCUUAAUGUCUCGUAUCCCAUGUUUGAGAUUAGAAAGAUGGUCGUAGUAUUUGACCAACGUCCACGACGGCAUACGCCCUCUUGAGCUCUUUACUAAAUCUUGUUCAGUGUUCGGCUGCUUGAUCUCUA
Molecule: long non-coding RNA, 1331 nt
Organism: Triticum aestivum (bread wheat)
Lineage: Eukaryota; Viridiplantae; Streptophyta; Magnoliopsida; Poales; Poaceae
Exons: 5
Source: RefSeq, a predicted model, not a curated record